Molecule: long non-coding RNA, 227 nt
Organism: Coregonus clupeaformis (lake whitefish)
Lineage: Eukaryota; Metazoa; Chordata; Actinopteri; Salmoniformes; Salmonidae
Exons: 3
Source: RefSeq, a predicted model, not a curated record
GAUGGAUGACUACAUCAACAACCAGGUAACUGAAGAAAAUGAGAACAGAGCAACGAGGAGAGUGAAGACUGAGACCCAUCGCUCAGGACCUGAGGAUUCAGGGAGAAGACUCUACAGGAUGGUUGCUGUGAGCUUUGGGAUGCUGUGUGUUCUACAAGUCACUCUCAACAUCUUCCUGAGACUAGUCUAUGCAGAGAGAGACCAGCUACAUACCAGAUACAACAACC